This is a long non-coding RNA of Loxodonta africana (African savanna elephant), 2617 nucleotides long. RefSeq lists it as uncharacterized. The transcript has 3 exons. The record is from RefSeq and is a predicted model, not a curated record. Lineage: Eukaryota; Metazoa; Chordata; Mammalia; Proboscidea; Elephantidae.
UUCCUCCUCGUCGUCCUUCCUUUCCCCAGCUCGCAAAUAAACUGAAAUCUUCAUUUGAAGGGGGUUGCUUGUGAGAAACGAACUGCAGGGGUUUCCAGAAGGAGCAUCGGUAGAAGUCUGGACUCCAACGGGUGCUCCGGGGGUGCGCAGGGGUCCCUCGAACCAAGCGUUCUCUCCUCAGAGAUUGAGCCCUGCGCAGCGUGGCCGCCUGGACAAGGAAAGGUGGGGAGAGGGUACUGGAGGAAGUAUGCCCGCCCGCUUUGAUUUCCCUAGACUUAGCGGCGGAGAAACCAGAAGCUAGGUGGGCAGCGGCAGCGGUGACGGCUCUUCCUGGCGUAGCUCACCCGGCUCCCCGCCCUUCCCAACCACGUGACUCCCGGGGACGCUCAGAUUGGGGCAGGAGCGGGGAUCACAUGUUUCCUCUGUCUCACACUCAGUACCCCCCCCCCAUUCUGACUCUCUCCUGCUACCCUCUCUUCCACCACCCGCCCCCCGGCGCGUUCUUUGGGCAUCUCCACCCCUCCAUCAAUUGUCAAUGUUCCUCGACCGCAAUCAAUCAGUUAUUUGUCAGCUCUUGUCAAUCCGCCCGUGAUUUAUGUCAGCUUUUGUUGCUGAUUACAAGGGGGUGCGACUUGAAGGGAAAAAGAGAGAGGGAAAGAGAGACGAAGAGGAAGAGACCGAAAGGGAACCAGAGGAGGGGGAAAGAGGAGUAGCCGCCUGGGCUGGGAGUCUGUGGGCGAUGGGGCGGGAGAGGGGCUGAGAAAAAGAGUGAAAGAGGCGCUCAGUGUCAGGAAAAUGGUUCGUGAGAGUAAAGUGCGCAGGUGCGCCUAGGGCGCAGAGAGGGGGCGCAGGCCUGGGGUGCCGCCAAGCCCCUGAACGUGUGGGAGAGGGAAACAACCUUCCCACCUCCGGGGGCUUUGAUCUACUGGGCCGUGGAGCUCGGGGCGGCUCGGGGUACAGGAGACUGGCGGCGGCGACGUCUAAGACGGAUUUUUUUCCCCCGGGGAUAGUCUCUCAGGGGUGUAUAGCGUGCAGAGGUCAGGCUGCCACCCUGCCGCGGGCACCACCCUCCGUUGUGCCCUUACCCCAAACUCAGAGUCUUCUUUUCACGAGCCAGUCUACCGACGUAAUCUCGAGUCCUGGAGAUCAAUGGUAGGGGUAAACCCCUCCGGCUCCAGUUUUUUGAUACCCUCGGACUGUGUCUAGUGCCCAAAGGCUAGAAGAGGCCCGACCUUGUGUGCAGGGGGGAGAUACGUCUCAGGCUCACUCUGGCCCCCUCCGUAGCCCUUCCCUACCCCCGCCCCUCGGCAUCCUCACAGGCUUGGGAACCGGGGUUACUCGGGGCUCUCUCGAAUUUAUCGGAACGCCGAGCCGGGAGUGACCUGCGCGGGGAGAAAACAGGGAAGGAGAGAGGGAGGGAGGGGGUGGCUGCCUGUGGGAAUAUGGGCUCUUCCAGGGAAGCGGAGCGGGACCGCCGCGUUCCCCUCGAUUUGCACUGUCACUCGGGCUGUUUGGAAAGAAGAGGGGAGGCGCUGUGAGUGCAGCCGUGUACCUGAAUCUGGUGCACAGCGCGCUGCUGUCUGCAACGUCGCCGACCUUGCUCAUGGCGUUGCCUUGGCUUUGUAAAUAUGUGGAGGAGGCUCACGGGAUACUGGCGUCUCAGCACUGGAAUCGACAGGAUUUCUCUGGCUGCUGUGUGCGCUGCUUUUAUCCGAAUAAAUCCAGCUCGCAGGCAUCUGACAGGAAACGGCUCGGGGCUCUCGUGUGCGCCGGACACCUCGGCCCUGUGCGGGACGCGAGGUGGCUUCUCUUGGCCCCUCGGCGGCUGGUCGGGCCCCAGAAGGAUGUCGGACUAGCGGCUUCCGCAGGCAGAGCAGCAGCCUGGCCACGUCUGACAGCAUCCACCUCUCCCGGUGCUUGGGAAAAGCGCUGGGCUCAGUCAGUCAGCGCCGAAAACUGAAAGCAAAUUCUGCUGCAAACGUGGCUGGAGCUUGCCUCGUCGCAGGUUUGCUGCAGAGGUUCAGAGGCGGCUUUGGGAGGACCGCGCACUAGUUAGUGCGCGCGCGGGAUGGGGCGGAGGGCGAAGAGGGCGAUGGGCGGCCGAGGGCGAAGCGCUGGGGCAAGCGCCUUCUCAUCUCUUUUCCUCCAACUCCUCGGCCUCUGUCAGUAAAAAUGGUUUCUAAGCUGCCGCGGAAUUUCAAGAUGUGUUUCUGGGGAUUACAUGGCGGGGGGGGGGGGCUUUGUAAAAGUUGCAGAAAGAGCUUUGUCCAUAAGCGUCCGCCCAGGGGGCUGGAAGAAAAAAAACAACCAUGAGAUCCGCGAGCCUUUGGUGGGGGGGAAUGGUAAAGAAUCGCCCUGCCCUCCCCUCCCAGUCUGGUCCUCUCCCCACACCUCAAACCAGUGCGUGAAGACCCUUGGGCCGACUGCCCUGCAAACUUCCCCGCGCGGCGCCGCGGUUGGCAGGAGAGGCCCGGUCACAGCGCUAGCCCGCAAGGCCGCUCCUCGGCUCGCUCGGCCCCAACCCUGAGAAAGGUUUGCACUGAGGUGGGGGACAUGUGGCUCCCGCUCCCCACUUGACUGCCCCGAGCUUCAUCGCCGGCCCCAUUGACUCCCUAGA